This 468-nucleotide ribosomal RNA is filed under the name uncultured bacterium. RNAcentral's name for it is "partial 16S ribosomal RNA". It matches the Rfam family "Bacterial small subunit ribosomal RNA", at positions 28 to 507 of the family's 1533-position model. The record is from RNAcentral.
GACGAACGCUGGCGGCGUGCUUAACACAUGCAAGUCGAACGGAAAGGCCCUGCUUUUGUGGGGUGCUCGAGUGGCGAACGGGUGAGUAACACGUGAGUAACCUGCCCUUGACUUUGGGAUAACUUCAGGAAACUGGGGCUAAUACCGGAUAGGAGCUCCUGCUGCAUGGUGGGGGUUGGAAAGUUUCGGCGGUUGGGGAUGGACUCGCGGCUUAUCAGCUUGUUGGUGGGGUAGUGGCUUACCAAGGCUUUGGCGGGUAGCCGGCCUGAGAGGGUGACCGGCCACAUUGGGACUGAGAUACGACCCAGACUCCUACGGGAGGCAGCAGUGGGGAAUAUUGCACAAUGGGCGGAAGCCUGAUGCAGCAACGCCGCGUGCGGGAUGACGGCCUUCGGGUUGUAAACCGCUUUCGCCUGUGACGAAGCGUGAGUGACGGUAAUGGGUAAAGAAGCACCGGCUAACUACGUG